Paramormyrops kingsleyae is the source of this 637-nucleotide long non-coding RNA. RefSeq lists it as uncharacterized. The record is from RefSeq and is a predicted model, not a curated record. NCBI's taxonomy places the organism in Eukaryota, Metazoa, Chordata, Actinopteri, Osteoglossiformes, Mormyridae.
AGGCAUGGGGCCGGCACCACAGCCAGCGUUGAUGCAAGGGUCAGCCGCAAGGGCAGGCGCUUCUGAUUGUAUGACAAGCGACAAGCUAAUUGAAGAUGGCGUCCUCCAUACUGACCGAUCCCUAGGCGGACCCGAGCGGAACCGCACAGCUGGCUCGCCUCAUUCGCAGGCGGCUGAUGUUCUGACCUUAGCUCCACAUCUGUCAGAGCGCCAGGAUGGCGACAUCACCAAACCACUAAUGAACAGGAAGGCCUGACGGACUGCAGAAGUGUUUGUUCCGCUCUCCCGGCUUACGAAGUUGGCAAUAGUUCACUCGGCGCGCAUCAGUGUGAGAGCCCAGCAUACCACCUGAGCCACACUGCUCCUGUUUUUACCGGGAGACUCUCAGAAUCCGGCCUGCCUCAUCUACUCCCAGGCUGUCCUGUUCGGACCCUGCGGCCAGGGUGAGAAGGAACAAGAGCGCCAGUUUGGAGUGGGUUCACUCCGAGCCAACAGCAGCUUCCUGCAGACAGUAACCUCAACUGGUGCUGGGUACGACAGUAUGGCAGAUUAUUUAUUAUUAUUAUUUGUGGGAAGCAUGACGGCCUUAUGCCUCCAGGGUUGGGGGUUCAAACUGUGUGCAUGUGAAGCUCGCAUG